This 253-nucleotide ribosomal RNA is filed under the name uncultured bacterium. Its description in RNAcentral is "partial 16S ribosomal RNA". It matches the Rfam family "Bacterial small subunit ribosomal RNA", at positions 524 to 776 of the family's 1533-position model. The record is from RNAcentral.
UACGUAGGUGGCAAGCGUUGUCCGGAAUUACUGGGCAUAAAGGGUGCGUAGGUGGUUUGUUAAGUCAGGGGUGAAAUCCCGCGGCCCAACCGUGGAACUGCCUUUGAUACUGGCGAACUUGAGUGCGUGAGGGGUAGGGGGAACGAGCAGUGUAGCGGUGAAAUGCGUAGAUAUUGCUCGGAAGGCCAGAGCCGAAGGGGCCCUACUGGUGCGCAACUGACACUGAGGCACGAAAGCGUGGGGAGCAAACAGG